GCUCUCGUAGCUAAGUUGGUUAGAGCACCUGCUUACUCAUCGGAGGUCUUGAGUUUGACUCUCAACAAGAACA
RNAcentral lists this transfer RNA (73 nucleotides) under Nicotiana attenuata. It matches the Rfam family "tRNA". From Rfam's summary of the family: Transfer RNA (tRNA) molecules are approximately 80 nucleotides in length. The record is from Rfam by way of RNAcentral. Lineage: Eukaryota; Viridiplantae; Streptophyta; Magnoliopsida; Solanales; Solanaceae.